CGGACGGGUGAGUAACGCGUGGAAAACCUGCCGUAUACUGGGGGAGUAACACUUAGAAAUAGGUGCUAAUACCGCAUAAGCGCACAGCUUCGCAUGAAGCGGUGUGAAAAACUCUGGUGGUAUACGAUGGUUCCGCGCCUGAUUAGCUAGUUGGUGGGGUAAUGGCCUACCAAGGCAACGAUCAGUAGCCGGCCUGAGAGGGUGAACGGCCACAUUGGGACUGAGACACGGCCCAAACUCCUACGGAAGGCAGCAG
RNAcentral lists this ribosomal RNA (256 nucleotides) under uncultured bacterium. Its description in RNAcentral is "partial 16S ribosomal RNA". It matches the Rfam family "Bacterial small subunit ribosomal RNA", at positions 99 to 354 of the family's 1533-position model. The record is from RNAcentral.